Molecule: RNA transcript, 1688 nt
Organism: Rosa rugosa (rugosa rose)
Lineage: Eukaryota; Viridiplantae; Streptophyta; Magnoliopsida; Rosales; Rosaceae
Gene name: putative E3 ubiquitin-protein ligase XBAT35
Exons: 8
Source: RefSeq, a predicted model, not a curated record
UGCACAUUAUCUCCCACUUAGCCGUUUUCAACACUUACAUCUAUAGUCUUCGAGAAAAACAGCAAAACCUAUCUUCUUCUUCUCAAAGCAGAACCCGUCUUCUUCUCUUAAAGAAUUGAACCCAUCUUAUUCUCAAAACUCAUCUUCUCCAACAAGACCCAUUUUAUUCUCAAAACUCAUCUUCUCUGUCUUCGCAAAACACCAUCACCAUCUUCGCAAAACACAUCUUAGCCAUCUUCUUCUCAAAAUCUGUCUUCGCAAAACACCAUCACCAUCUUUACAAAACCCAUCUUAGCCAUCACCAUCUUCUCAAAACACUAGAUUCAAGUUGAAGAUGAGGAGAACAAAAACGGGGUUCUUCUGGGCUACUGGAUUAGAUUAGGGUUCUUCGAUCUUGAGGUUUACAACGACGAUUUGGGGAUGUGUGGGCUACUCGAUUUGGGGGUUUCACGGCUACUCUAUUUGGGGUUUUCACGGCUCUUCGUCCUCUCUUCGCAAUCACACUCGUCGUCUCAUUCAUUGCUUCUGGAGUGCUACAAGAAUGCAAGCUGACAACGAAGAAUUGGAGUUGAAGCAAAUGAGAGAUAUGGUUGCUGCCAAAAAGAAUGGGAGGAAUCGAUCGAAGUUCUAAGAACAACAAAUCUGGGUCGAAAUUUGCUUCUGAUUCUAAAAGUGGGUCUCGAAAGAAAAUCGAAUGUCAAUGCUGUAGGAUACCAUUACCCUUUUGUUGAACUUCAGUUGGGUUGUUGUUUUGCCAUGUGGUUCCUGCAAACCUACCAAGCCUUACAAGUUGGAGCUUGCAAUAUAUUCUAGUAUGCAGGAUGCUCAACCGCAUACAGUUAUUGGAUUGUGGAAAGUUAAUCUGGAAGAACCAAAAUCUCACCUGUCUGAUCCUUCGGUUAUAAUUCAUGAUAUCUCCACAAAAGCACGCAUUAGACUUGCAUCUGCAAAUGAAAAUGACAAGCAACAACUUCAGUGGUUUAGCAAUGCAUGCAAAGGAAUUCCACAGAUAUUCCCUAAAAGCGGCUUUUGAUUACACUUCCAAACAAUGUACUGCGUGCUGCCAACAUUUAGGAUUGUGAUCUUUGAUGUGAAUAUGUGCAAAAAUGGAUUUCUAAACAGCUGAAUGGCUCUCAUAGUCUCACAUACAGAUUGGAGUCCUGACUUUUGAGACAAUGAAGUACUAUCUUACAGACUAUUAUGUAGGCAACGAUAUGCUAGAUUACAGUCUUGUAGUGCAGAUAUUUUCUCCAUCAUUCUAGUCUCUAUUUCUGGCAAUGUCAUAUUCUAACACAUGAGAGAAAUCAUUGAGGAUAAAGACAUGCCAUUGUUUCCUUCUAAGUGGGAGAGGAGAGGCAACAGCCAAUACACCCAAGCAGAUAUUGAUCAAGUGUGAAAUGAGUGAGGGAAGUUUGUUGUCAACACAUAUGUGCAUGAGCCUUGAAGUAGCGCGCUUGUUGCUGGUACAAUUUUAAUAAGGAAAGCAUCUUUUUUGUGCUUCUCUGCUGGUACAUUGUCAUGCACCAUGUGGCAUGUUUUGGAACAAUACAUAUAUGUGUAUCAGCUUUUUGAUGUCCCAAGUAGAUGGACAUGCACUAGAAUGCUUUUCUUGUUUAAAAUGUUGGCUUUCUUAUUUGGAAAUGCACCUCUUUUGCUUAUGAAGUUUAAAGUAUUGGUUAGAUUACUCA